Molecule: ribosomal RNA, 389 nt
Filed under: Salmonella enterica subsp. enterica serovar Typhimurium var. 5- str. CFSAN004345
Lineage: Bacteria; Pseudomonadati; Pseudomonadota; Gammaproteobacteria; Enterobacterales; Enterobacteriaceae
Description: bacterial SSU rRNA
Rfam family: Bacterial small subunit ribosomal RNA
Source: RNAcentral
CUUGGAGGUUGUGCCCUUGAGGCGUGGCUUCCGGAGCUAACGCGUUAAGUAGACCGCCUGGGGAGUACGGCCGCAAGGUUAAAACUCAAAUGAAUUGACGGGGGCCCGCACAAGCGGUGGAGCAUGUGGUUUAAUUCGAUGCAACGCGAAGAACCUUACCUGGUCUUGACAUCCACAGAACUUUCCAGAGAUGGAUUGGUGCCUUCGGGAACUGUGAGACAGGUGCUGCAUGGCUGUCGUCAGCUCGUGUUGUGAAAUGUUGGGUUAAGUCCCGCAACGAGCGCAACCCUUAUCCUUUGUUGCCAGCGGUCCGGCCGGGAACUCAAAGGAGACUGCCAGUGAUAAACUGGAGGAAGGUGGGGAUGACGUCAAGUCAUCAUGGCCCUUAC